Molecule: ribosomal RNA, 266 nt
Filed under: Rhipicephalus simus
Lineage: Eukaryota; Metazoa; Arthropoda; Arachnida; Ixodida; Ixodidae
Description: partial large subunit ribosomal RNA
Source: RNAcentral
CUGCUCAAUGAUUUUUUAAAUUGCUGUGGUAUUUUGACUAUACAAAGGUAUUGAAAUAAGAUUUUAAUUGAAUGCUAAGAGAAUGGAAUUUCAGAAAAAAGCUUUUUUUAAAUUAAAAAUUGAAUUUUUCUUAAUUUGUGCAGAGACAAUUAUUAAUAUUAAGGACAAGAAGACCCUAUGAAUUUAUUAAAUUUAUUUAAUGAGAAUCUCCUAUUAAAUAAAUUUUGGCUGGGGCGGCAAGAAAAUAUCAAAAACUUUUCAGAUAA